CCCUACUGACUCCUGUUUGCGCUCUCCUCCCUCUCAGUUCCUCUUUCUCCUCUACUGAAACCACAAUCUUCCUCUCCUCGGCGCGCUCCCAUGUCUCUCGCCAUGGAGCCCACAAACUAAGCAAGUAGUGACGGUCACAAGACUCAAACAUGGCGGAUGCGUACUGGAGGUAUAAUGACGGCUAGCAACCGCCGCCGUCGGCGAUGAAUAUAGCCGUCGGAAAGCGUCCUCGCUCCGGUUACGUGACAGAGAUGGAUCUACGGCCACCACCGCCAACCACGCCGCUGGGAAGAUCUUAGAUUGAAAACUGGAACUUUGUACGAGGUUUCAUGAAUAUAGGAAGUGUGCUUGCUCACUCUCUGAGUGUUUCGUUGAGGGGUGAACACGGUCAAGGUUUUUCAACAAGAAAAUUAACCUGCAAAUUAAAUUGAGGUAUGAAUGAGUUUAUCCAACUUUAAUUAUUUUGGUCUGCGUUUCCUUUUUUUUUUUUUUUUUUUUGAAAUUAGAUAUUUUUU
This is a long non-coding RNA of Pyrus x bretschneideri (Chinese white pear), 515 nucleotides long. RefSeq lists it as uncharacterized. The transcript is spliced from 3 exons. The record is from RefSeq and is a predicted model, not a curated record. Lineage: Eukaryota; Viridiplantae; Streptophyta; Magnoliopsida; Rosales; Rosaceae.